AUGGGGAUGCGAAGAGAUUUUUUUUUUUAUUUUCUUCCUACUCAUUUGCAUGAUAUUAGUUAUUUUUAUUAUUAGGUAUUGUGUUUUAUCAUUUGUUGCAUCAUACUUUUAUGAUUAUGAUAAACCCCAUAGAUUUGGAUAAUGAUUUUAGGGCCAUGAUGAGAUCAUGCCAGUGAGACCUAAAACAUCAUAUGUAUGCUCGAUGGAGAGGGUGAUUG
This 218-nucleotide long non-coding RNA is filed under the name Elaeis guineensis (African oil palm). RNAcentral's name for it is "long non-coding RNA (EGUI_LNC057108)". The record is from RNAcentral. Lineage: Eukaryota; Viridiplantae; Streptophyta; Magnoliopsida; Arecales; Arecaceae.